CCUACGGGUGGCAGCAGUGAGGAAUAUUGGUCAAUGGACGAGAGUCUGAACCAGCCAAGUAGCGUGAAGGAUGACUGCCCUAUGGGUUGUAAACUUCUUUUAUAUGGGAAUAAAAUGUUCCACGUGUGGGAUUUUGUAUGUACCAUAUGAAUAAGGAUCGGCUAACUCCGUGCCAGCAGCCGCGGUAAUACGGAGGAUCCGAGCGUUAUCCGGAUUUAUUGGGUUUAAAGGGAGCGUAGGUGGAUGGUUAAGUCAGUUGUGAAAGUUUGCGGCUCAACCGUAAAAUUGCAGUUGAAACUGGCAGUCUUGAGUACAGUAGAGGUGGGCGGAAUUCGUAGUGUAGCGGUGAAAUGCUUAGAUAUCACGAAGAACUCCGAUUGCGAAGGCAGUUCACUGGACUGCAACUGACACUGAGGCUCGAAAGUGUGGGUAUCAAACAGGAUUAGAUACCCCUGUAGUC
Molecule: ribosomal RNA, 460 nt
Filed under: uncultured bacterium
Lineage: Bacteria
Description: partial 16S ribosomal RNA
Rfam family: Bacterial small subunit ribosomal RNA
Source: RNAcentral